This is a long non-coding RNA of Larimichthys crocea (large yellow croaker), 328 nucleotides long. RefSeq lists it as uncharacterized. The record is from RefSeq and is a predicted model, not a curated record. NCBI's taxonomy places the organism in Eukaryota, Metazoa, Chordata, Actinopteri, Sciaenidae. The transcript is spliced from 3 exons.
CAGACCACAGAGCCAAGAACACAUCGGACACCAGCACACCUGUGUCCAUCCAGUCAGACUCUCCAGGUGUGUUGAUCUUCUACACUCUGGAUGGAUCGAGGCCGGUGGAGGUGCAGCGGGGCUCAGCCAGCAGCAGCAGGAAGUACAACCAGCCAAUCCUGCUGCCCGCUGGUCGAGUGUCUGUCAGAGCGGUGGCUGUCACCAGUGAUGGCAGAGAGAGCUCCGCUGUGACAAAGGUUUUCACGGUUGAACUUGUGGAUUCAAACAAGGACGAGAACGAGGAGAACUUCCUGCAGAGCGACCAGCAGGUAAUCAGAUUACAUCAAAU